GGAAGGGGCGGCGUGCUAUACAUGCAAGUCGAACGAACUCUGGUAUUGAUUGGUGCUUGCAUCAUGAUUUACAUUUGAGUGAGUGGCGAACUGGUGAGUAACACGUGGGAAACCUGCCCAGAAGCGGGGGAUAACACCUGGAAACAGAUGCUAAUACCGCAUAACAACUUGGACCGCAUGGUCCGAGCUUGAAAGAUGGCUUCGGCUAUCACUUUUGGAUGGUCCCGCGGCGUAUUAGCUAGAUGGUGGGGUAACGGCUCCACCAUGGCAAUGAUACCGUAGCCGACCUGAGAGGGUAAUCGGCCACAUUGGGACUGAGACACGGCCCAAACUCCUACGGGAGGCAGCAGUAGGGAAUCUUCCACAAUGGACGAAAGUCUGAUGGAGCAACGCCGCGUGAGUGAAGAAGGGUUUCGGCUCGUAAAACUCUGUUGUUAAAGAAGAACAUAUCUGAGAGUAACUGUUCAGGUAUUGACGGUAUUUAACCAGAAAGCCACGGCUAACUACGUGCCAGCAGCCGCGGUAAUACGUAGGUGGCAAGCGUUGUCCGGAUUUAUUGGGCGUAAAGCGAGCGCAGGCGGUUUUUUAAGUCUGAUGUGAAAGCCUUCGGCUCAACCGAAGAAGUGCAUCGGAAACUGGGAAACUUGAGUGCAGAAGAGGACAGUGGAACUCCAUGUGUAGCGGUGAAAUGCGUAGAUAUAUGGAAGAACACCAGUGGCGAAGGCGGCUGUCUGGUCUGUAACUGACGCUGAGGCUCGAAAGUAUGGGUAGCAAACAGGAUUAGAUACCCUGGUAGUCCAUACCGUAAACGAUGAAUGCUAAGUGUUGGAGGGUUUCCGCCCUUCAGUGCUGCAGCUAACGCAUUAAGCAUUCCGCCUGGGGAGUACGGCCGCAAGGCUGAAACUCAAAGGAAUUGACGGGGGCCCGCACAAGCGGUGGAGCAUGUGGUUUAAUUCGAAGCUACGCGAAGAACCUUACCAGGUCUUGACAUACUAUGCAAAUCUAAGAGAUUAGACGUUCCCUUUCGGGGACAUGGAUACAGGUGGUGCAUGGUUGUCGUCAGCUCGUGUCGUGAGAUGUUGGGUUAAGUCCCGCAACGAGCGCAACCCUUAUUAUCAGUUGCCAGCAUUAAGUUGGGCACUCUGGUGGAGACUGCCGGUGACAAACCGG
RNAcentral lists this ribosomal RNA (1170 nucleotides) under Lactiplantibacillus plantarum. Its description in RNAcentral is "bacterial SSU rRNA". It matches the Rfam family "Bacterial small subunit ribosomal RNA", at positions 30 to 1166 of the family's 1533-position model. The record is from RNAcentral. Lineage: Bacteria; Bacillati; Bacillota; Bacilli; Lactobacillales; Lactobacillaceae.